This 482-nucleotide ribosomal RNA is filed under the name uncultured bacterium. RNAcentral's name for it is "bacterial SSU rRNA". It matches the Rfam family "Bacterial small subunit ribosomal RNA", at positions 28 to 508 of the family's 1533-position model. The record is from RNAcentral.
GAUGAACGCUGGCGGCGUGCCUAACACAUGCAAGUCGAACGAAGCACAUACGACGGAACUCUUCGGAGGGAAGAUGUAUGUGACUGAGUGGCGGACGGGUGAGUAACGCGUGGGUAACCUGCCCUAUACAGGGGGACAACAGUUGGAAACGACUGCUAAUACCGCAUAAGCGCACAGUACCGCAUGGUACAGAGCGAAAAACUCCGGUGGUAUAGGAUGGGCCCGCGUCUGAUUAGUUAGUUGGCGGUGUAACGGACCACCAAGACGACGAUCAGUAGCCGGCUUGAGAGAGUGAACGGCCACAUUGGGACUGAGACACGGCCCAAACUCCUACGGGAGGCAGCAGUGGGGAAUAUUGCACAAUGGGGGAAACCCUGAUGCAGCAACGCCGCGUGAGUGAAGAAGUAUUUCGGUAUGUAAAGCUCUAUCAGCAGGGAAGAAAAUGACGGUACCUGACUAAGAAGCCCCGGCUAACUACGUGC